Molecule: small RNA, 799 nt
Filed under: Histoplasma capsulatum var. duboisii H88
Lineage: Eukaryota; Fungi; Ascomycota; Eurotiomycetes; Onygenales; Ajellomycetaceae
Description: Histoplasma capsulatum H88 hypothetical RNA
Source: RNAcentral
CCCGUUGCAAUCAAUUCAAACACGACAAACAUCGCAAACCGACAUCCAGCAAGCAAUAUCUAGAUCCAUCUACACAAGUAUCAAUCUCUCAGACUUCUUCAGUGGAGGCACUGUCUCCUUUUCCCUUUUCCCUUUUCCUUUCUUUUGAAAAAUCUUUGCUUUUGAACUUCUGGACGCACAUUGCGUCGGGAGCGUGAGGAGUUUUUGUUGAGAUUUGGAAGCUCAAUUUGAAUCAACCGGCCGCGUGGAGGAGGGGGAUAGACAGAGAGGUAGGAACGGCGCGUUGUAUAUAUUUAAUAUACUUCUGGCGCUUCUCGCGACCUGAGAUGCGCCUUCAGGAUCCUUGAGAGCUCGUUCGUGAGGCUUGCGGAACGGAUUUUGCUUAAGAACGUCGCUAAUUGGGGGGUUGCGCAGCAGUGUUGGGUAUCAGCUGCCUCAUCGCAUUCUUAUCUAUAUCUACCGCACACCUCUUCGCUAGUUACUACUAGUACCUUGCCGCGCCCAACGCUUCUACUUCAAUCGCGCUUACAAGAACGACAAAAGCUUAGUUCAUGUCCAACAAUCCAGAAGAUAUGACCUUGACCUCCCCCAAGCCCUCAACCCCUGAUUUCCCAACACACAACUCCCCGCACCACCACCACCUCUCAAACAGUGCACAGCAGCAGCAGCAGCAUAACCUGGCUGUCGCCGCUAGCGCUGCCGCCGCCAGCUACGCUGCAGAUAACCACCUAGCAGGCCUUGUGGAAGCCGCCACGGCCGCAGCAGGACAGGAUGUCGACUGGGCGCAGAACGACGAGGG